Molecule: long non-coding RNA, 2055 nt
Organism: Prinia subflava (tawny-flanked prinia)
Lineage: Eukaryota; Metazoa; Chordata; Aves; Passeriformes; Cisticolidae
Exons: 3
Source: RefSeq, a predicted model, not a curated record
UUGUCAUCCUAACUGGUACUUUUUAUCAAUCAUGCCAAUUUCCUAAAACCUAUAAAAAUGUACUCACCCCUGGGUGAGGUGGGCUUUUGUGGACAUAUUUCUAUAACUGCUUCUGAAGGCCUUCAGAUAAAGAUCCCCUUUUAUAUUAGCUCCUUACUAAAACUAUCUCGAGUUUCAUUUACACGUUGGGCAAAAGGCAAGAGUUAUUCUGGCACACCCAGAUGGGACAGGAGAACCUGCUACCCUUCCUCCGGACAAUGAACAUCGUGCAAGGAAUUCUUUCCUGCUGGCAAUCUUGAGAAUUCCGUGCAGCGACCUGAGGUUGAGACACCAUGGCUCCAAGAUCCCUCAGGAAGUAAUAUAAAGACCACAGAGGAAGCCUAUUCCAGCAGACCAAACCUGAAGGAUGUGCCAGACUGGGAGCCGUAUGCAGAUAAGAGUGAGAUGGCAAACAGGUGGCAAGGUAUGCAGUGAUCACCACGAACCAGGGAAAGGGCCUUGCAUCAAAUGUAUCAUCCAAAAAGGCUGAACUGAUUACUUCAAACAAAGAUCUAAAACUGAGCAAAGUCCUCUGGAAGGAAAGAAGACUGGCAACUAUUCAAGUUCUACUUUGCAGAAGCUCCAGAGAUUCGUCCUGUUAUCUGGACACACCUGCCCAUCUGUUCCAGCCCAGAGGCAGAGCCUAUGUUAAAUGGAAAGACAGUAACCUUACAAGCUAAGUGGAAAAGGCCAUUCCAAGCUCGAACUACCCUCACCAAAACCAGAGGUGCUGACAAAGAACCCUGAAUUCACUGCUACAGAGCUAAGAAGACCUCUGUUCCUGAAAGUACCAGAAAACAAAGAGUAAUACAAAUCAAGAUGAUGUGAUUUAAAUCAUUCUUUUGUGUCUCUUAUCUGCACAGUUGGUAACCAUGAUUCAGAUUUGGCCCUAAAAAUUGCAUGUAGCUCUAGUCCAAAAUGUAUCCAAAAACUCCAUAAGAACAAGUUGUUUGUGGGAUGUUGGAUAUAAAAGUUUGGCCUGGUAAGUUUUGCCCCUAGAUAAAGAUCAGGCCUAUGUCCAUGGGGCUGUGAUUCCAAAUAUAAAUUUUUUUUUUUUUUAAUAUAUAAGGCUACUGAUGAAACAGAAUGGCUCUUAAUUUCCUACUAACCACAUAAUCAAUAACACUGGUUGUUGUUCUUAUGCAGUCAGAAUGAAAGAAUUGCUAAAGAUUUAGUUGAAAUUUGAAAGCAAACUCAUUCUACACUAGGUAGCUCUCAAAGGAACUCACUGAACCUUUAGUAUCUUCAAUACACUCACAUCAUGGUUACCAAACGAGCCUGGAUAAAAAAAGUAUUCAUAAUAGCUGUAGUUACAGUUGGCAUCUGUGUAACAACUAGUAAGAUAGCUCGUUGUAUUAACUGGUAGUGUGGUUAAAUAUGGAGUAGAGAUAAACAAGAUGGAGUCUUGUUAGUCUCUAAAAAAAGGGGAGGAAUUAUGCCGUUUAGGUUUUAUCCUUUUUUUUUUAUUUUCCCUGUAUUCUUCACACAUAUGUUUGUAGCUCUGUAGCCUAUUGUAUUUGUGGCUAGUUUUCCCAGUACUUUUCCAUGGCCUUUCCUUAAGCAGAAAGACAAAACAAAUUUUAGAGCUCCAAACCCUGGGAGGUACAAGGCUCUGUGCUAUCUUGGCUCUUCCUGGCAACCAAGGCCAAGGACAACUCUUCGAGAUACAUUCUCAUGGACAAAGUACAAGAAGUGCUCAAGGGGGGGCUCCAGAGAAGGGGCUUGACCUGGGGGGGAAUUGCAUCACCACUUGUCCUCCUAAUUGGUGCUUUUUAUCAAUCAUGCCAAUUUCCUAAAACCUAUAAAAAUGUACUCACCCCUGGGCAAGAUGGGCUUUUGUGGACAUCUUUCUAUAACUGCCUCUGAAGGCCUUCAAAUAAAGAUCCCUUUUAAUAUUAGCUGCUUAUUAAAAUUAUCUUGAGUUUCAUAUCCAGGCUGGGCAAAAGGCAACAUUAUAGGCAUUUAUCUCUUAUCCUUAACAAAAAGGCAAAGAGCUGAAGAUUAGUAGCAUUUUGC